UACGUAGGCAGCAAGCGUUGUUCGGAGUUACUGGGCGUAAAGGGUGUGUAGGCGGUUCUUUAAGUUUGGUGUGAAAUCUUGCGGCUCAACCGGGAGGGUGCGCCGAAUACUGAGAGGCUAGAGUGUGGGAGAGGAAAGUGGAAUUCCUGGUGUAGCGGUGAAAUGCGUAGAUAUCAGGAGGAACACCGGUGGUGUAAACGGCUUUCUGGACCAUAACUGACGCUGAGGCACGAAAGCGUGGGUAGCAAACAGG
Molecule: ribosomal RNA, 253 nt
Filed under: uncultured bacterium
Lineage: Bacteria
Description: partial 16S ribosomal RNA
Rfam family: Bacterial small subunit ribosomal RNA
Source: RNAcentral